Long non-coding RNA from Prionailurus viverrinus (fishing cat), 309 nucleotides. RefSeq lists it as uncharacterized. The record is from RefSeq and is a predicted model, not a curated record. The transcript is spliced from 2 exons. NCBI's taxonomy places the organism in Eukaryota, Metazoa, Chordata, Mammalia, Carnivora, Felidae.
UAAGGAAACAUGACAUAAACAUAGGCUAGAAAAAUGCUGGUACAUUGGGGCUUGCUCCCUCCUGCUACUCUUUGGAACUUGGAGUCUACCAUGGGAAGAAGUCUGGGCUAGCCUGCUGGAGUGGUAGAGACCACAUCUGAGAAGAAAGGAGCCAUCCCAGUUAUAUCCUCUACUCCUUGACCAGCUAGGUAACAACAAAAUCUAAAUAUUUAAUGAAAGAAAUAGGAUGCAGUGAAGAAUAAUUUAUGCAGAAGGCCAUUUCAUUCACUCAGUUAAACUGGAGAACCCAUGAUAUGCUGGGCAAUAAGC